AAUUGGGCUCAGAUUGAACGCUGGCGGCAGGCCUAACACAUGCAAGUCGAGCGGUAGCACAGGGAGCUUGCUCCUGGGUGACGAGCGGCGGACGGGUGAGUAAUGUCUGGGAAACUGCCUGAUGGAGGGGGAUAACUACUGGAAACGGUAGCUAAUACCGCAUAACGUCUUCGGACCAAAGAGGGGGACCUUCGGGCCUCUUGCCAUCAGAUGUGCCCAGAUGGGAUUAGCUAGUAGGUGAGGUAAUGGCUCACCUAGGCGACGAUCCCUAGCUGGUCUGAGAGGAUGACCAGCCACACUGGAACUGAGACACGGUCCAGACUCCUACGGGAGGCAGCAGUGGGGAAUAUUGCACAAUGGGCGCAAGCCUGAUGCAGCCAUGCCGCGUGUAUGAAGAAGGCCUUCGGGUUGUAAAGUACUUUCAGCGAGGAGGAAGGCAUUGUGGUUAAUAACCGCAGUGAUUGACGUACUCGCA
RNAcentral lists this ribosomal RNA (475 nucleotides) under Buttiauxella sp. Its description in RNAcentral is "bacterial SSU rRNA". It matches the Rfam family "Bacterial small subunit ribosomal RNA", at positions 16 to 483 of the family's 1533-position model. The record is from RNAcentral. Lineage: Bacteria; Pseudomonadati; Pseudomonadota; Gammaproteobacteria; Enterobacterales; Enterobacteriaceae.